GGGACACGUGGUAUCCUGUCUGAAUAUGGGGGGACCAUCCUCCAAGGCUAAAUACUCCUGACUGACCGAUAGUGAACCAGUACCGUGAGGGAAAGGCGAAAAGAACCCCGGCGAGGGGAGUGAAAAAGAACCUGAAACCGUGUACGUACAAGCAGUGGGAGCCUCUUAAUGGGGUGACUGCGUACCUUUUGUAUAAUGGGUCAGCGACUUAUAUUCUGUAGCAAGGUUAACCGAAUAGGGGAGCCGAAGGGAAACCGAGUCUUAACUGGGCGUUAAGUUGCAGGGUAUAGACCCGAAACCCGGUGAUCUAGCCAUGGGCAGGUUGAAGGUUGGGUAACACUAACUGGAGGACCGAACCGACUAAUGUUGAAAAAUUAGCGGAUGACUUGUGGCUGGGGGUGAAAGGCCAAUCAAACCGGGAGAUAGCUGGUUCUCCCCGAAAGCUAUUUAGGUAGCGCCUCGUGAAUUCAUCUCCGGGGGUAGAGCACUGUUUCGGCAAGGGGGUCAUCCCGACUUACCAACCCGAUGCAAACUGCGAAUACCGGAGAAUGUUAUCACGGGAGACACACGGCGGGUGCUAACGUCCGUCGUGAAGAGGGAAACAACCCAGACCGCCAGCUAAGGUCCCAAAGUCAUGGUUAAGUGGGAAACGAUGUGGGAAGGCCCAGACAGCCAGGAUGUUGGCUUAGAAGCAGCCAUCAUUUAAAGAAAGCGUAAUAGCUCACUGGUCGAGUCGGCCUGCGCGGAAGAUGUAACGGGGCUAAACCAUGCACCGAAGCUGCGGCAGCGACACUAUGUGUUGUUGGGUAGGGGAGCGUUCUGUAAGCCUGUGAAGGUGGCCUGUGAGGGUUGCUGGAGGUAUCAGAAGUGCGAAUGCUGACAUAAGUAACGAUAAAGCGGGUGAAAAGCCCGCUCGCCGGAAGACCAAGGGUUCCUGUCCAACGUUAAUCGGGGCAGGGUGAGUCGACCCCUAAGGCGAGGCCGAAUGGCGUAGUCGAUGGGAAACAGGUUAAUAUUCCUGUACUUGGUGUUACUGCGAAGGGGGGACGGAGAAGGCUAUGUUGGCCGGGCGACGGUUGUCCCGGUUUAAGCGUGUAGGCUGGUUUUCCAGGCAAAUCCGGAAAACCAAGGCUGAGGCGUGAUGACGAGGCACUACGGUGCUGAAGUGACAAAUGCCCUGCUUCCAGGAAAAGCCUCUAAGCAUCAGGUAACAUCAAAUCGUACCCCAAACCGACACAGGUGGUCAGGUAGAGAAUACCAAGGCGCUUGAGAGAACUCGGGUGAAGGAACUAGGCAAAAUGGUGCCGUAACUUCGGGAGAAGGCACGCUGAUAUGUAGGUGAAGCGACUUGCUCGUGGAGCUGAAAUCAGUCGAAGAUACCAGCUGGCUGCAACUGUUUAUUAAAAACACAGCACUGUGCAAACACGAAAGUGGACGUAUACGGUGUGACGCCUGCCCGGUGCCGGAAGGUUAAUUGAUGGGGUUAGCGGUAACGCGAAGCUCUUGAUCGAAGCCCCGGUAAACGGCGGCCGUAACUAUAACGGUCCUAAGGUAGCGAAAUUCCUUGUCGGGUAAGUUCCGACCUGCACGAAUGGCGUAAUGAUGGCCAGGCUGUCUCCACCCGAGACUCAGUGAAAUUGAACUCGCUGUGAAGAUGCAGUGUACCCGCGGCAAGACGGAAAGACCCCGUGAACCUUUACUAUAGCUUGACACUGAACAUUGAGCCUUGAUGUGUAGGAUAGGUGGGAGGCUUUGAAGUGUGGACGCCAGUCUGCAUGGAGCCGACCUUGAAAUACCACCCUUUAAUGUUUGAUGUUCUAACGUUGGCCCGUAAUCCGGGUUGCGGACAGUGUCUGGUGGGUAGUUUGACUGGGGCGGUCUCCUCCUAAAGAGUAACGGAGGAGCACGAAGGUUGGCUAAUCCUGGUCGGACAUCAGGAGGUUAGUGCAAUGGCAUAAGCCAGCUUGACUGCGAGCGUGACGGCGCGAGCAGGUGCGAAAGCAGGUCAUAGUGAUCCGGUGGUUCUGAAUGGAAGGGCCAUCGCUCAACGGAUAAAAGGUACUCCGGGGAUAACAGGCUGAUACCGCCCAAGAGUUCAUAUCGACGGCGGUGUUUGGCACCUCGAUGUCGGCUCAUCACAUCCUGGGGCUGAAGUAGGUCCCAAGGGUAUGGCUGUUCGCCAUUUAAAGUGGUACGCGAGCUGGGUUUAGAACGUCGUGAGACAGUUCGGUCCCUAUCUGCCGUGGGCGCUGGAGAACUGAGGGGGGCUGCUCCUAGUACGAGAGGACCGGAGUGGACGCAUCACUGGUGUUCGGGUUGUCAUGCCAAUGGCACUGCCCGGUAGCUAAAUGCGGAAGAGAUAAGUGCUGAAAGCAUCUAAGCACGAAACUUGCCCCGAGAUGAGUUCUCCCUGAGACUUAGAGUCUCCUGAAGGAACGUUGAAGACGACGACGUUGAUAGGCCGGGUGUGUAAGCGCAGCGAUGCGUUGAGCUAACCGGUACUAAUGAACCGUGAGGCUUAACCUUACAACGCCGAAG
RNAcentral lists this ribosomal RNA (2538 nucleotides) under Escherichia coli. RNAcentral describes it as "partial 23S ribosomal RNA". It matches the Rfam family "Bacterial large subunit ribosomal RNA", at positions 419 to 2925 of the family's 2925-position model. Lineage: Bacteria; Pseudomonadati; Pseudomonadota; Gammaproteobacteria; Enterobacterales; Enterobacteriaceae. The record is from RNAcentral.